This 7557-nucleotide long non-coding RNA is filed under the name Marmota monax (woodchuck). Lineage: Eukaryota; Metazoa; Chordata; Mammalia; Rodentia; Sciuridae. The record is from RNAcentral.
UGGGAAUGCCUUCAGCCUGCUCAGAAAAAUUUAUAUAGAAAUGUGAUGCUAGAGAACUAUAGAAACUUGGCCUUCCUGGGUAAGUUUAAUUUCCUUUUAAAAUUAUUAAUUACUAAUUAUUAUUUAAUUUACUUCUGUUGCAGAGUAUCUUCUGGGAACUUCUCUAUAAAAAUGAGUUUAAGAUUUAUGUUUCAAAGAAAAAGGGCAUUUUUAAUACAGAUAUUUCUCUCUCUCUCUCUCUCUCUCUCUCUCUAUAUAUAUAUAUAUAUAUAUAUAUAUAUAGAUAGAUAGAUAGAUUGAUUUAUAGAUAUGUAAUUUUACUCCUUAAUCUGUCUCUUUCUUUGUGUGUUACACAUCCUUAACUUUAGAUAAGUAGUACCUAGUAUAAUUUAGUGAUGUAAAGUAUUGUAGACUACACAUAGCAGGGGACACAGUUGAGUCAUUCAAAUGUCAAGGAGAAAACCAAACUGAAAAAUGUUGAAAGAGUAGUUAUCCAGUAGAAGAAAUUUUCAGAAGCUUAGGUUUAUUUAUUUUGAUUGUAAUCAUUGAACACAUACUGCCCUAUAUUUAUCACAUUUUCAAAUUCCUUGUUCUCUGUUUUCUUCUUUAGUGAUGUCCCAGUUUAUUCAAAUUAGCCAUCAAAACUUAAAUUUUGUUCUGAGGGCCAGCGUGAUCUGUUUCAAAUCUUCUUGUAAGGAAACUUUUAAAGAAGCAAAGAGAAGAGAGAGACACACACAGUGAAAAGGAAAAAAAAGAAAAAAAAUAACUGGCCACCCCUCUUAACAGCUGCACAUAUAAUACUCAAAAAUUCCAUACCUUCUGAUAUCAUGAAUACAUUCUAACCCAGUUUUUCUUUAAGCCCAAGUGCUAGCUAACCAAUAUUAGGAACAGUUAAUACAAAUAUAGAGCCCCUUCUCCCUAAGGACAUUACCACAGAAACUAGAUAGUGCACCUGUAGAGUUGUCUUAAUAGCUUCAUGGAGAAACUGUUCGGCAUUACAAUUUUGGGACUCAGGGUGCCAGUUACAAUCACUCCAACACGUUCCUGUCUAUUGCAAGCUCAGAAUACAUAAUACCUCCCCUCUUUUUAAAGGCCUUUUGAAUAAAUAAUAUUACUUAUCUCCGUAAUGCUGGUGGGGGCAAAAAAUAGGGCAGACAUAGACAACAGCAAGUUCCAACAUCAGUAAACAUCCACCUAUGAAUAUUUUUGACCCAGAUGAAAUUUAGUAAACAUGACAUUAGCCAAUCCAACAAGUCAAUCAUCAAUCAUCUUGUUGUACCUUUUUAAUCAUAUCUUUAAGGUAAUCUAACUCUUUUGAAAUAAAAUUACUAUUAUCACUUAAAUUGAAGGAACACAUGUAAUUAAACUUAUGAUAUCCAUUAUGAUAUAACAAUACCAGAUAAUCAAUUGCAAUCAUGAAUUUUAAGUAUGGCUUGACAAUGUUGUUUUUGUUCUUCAUUAAGCAUAUUAACAGCCAUGGAGGCAUGACUAAUACUUUUUAUGAUAGCAUAGGUGAGUUUCAUAGUAGUUUUAUAAGCCCCUAGAGCUAGUCCAGGUAAACCCACUAAGGAGAAUGUCAACCUAUUAAAUUCUGCCUUAGAGAGAAGCUUCACUGAAUCAUCACUUUUUUAUCAAGAGGAAUAGAUCUUAUAUGUAUAAAUUGCACAGGAUGGUGACCUAUUAAAUACCAUGUGGAUGGUAAGGACACAAUAUUCUGCUAAGACAACAAUGAGACAUUUUUGCAGGUAUAUAACAAUUUUAUGCAAGUGAGUCAAGAUAUUGUAAUAGGUUCUAGAAGUUCAGGAUCUGACAGUACUGAUUUUCCCAGAGCUUGUGUACAGAAACAGAGCAAAAUUGUUAUUAAGACCAAAGCAUUUACAGAGUUUUGUGUGAGUUUAUCAAUCAAAGCAGUAACAAAGUUAUCUAGAGUACAUUCUAACCCCACUUUAGCCAACACCUGUUGUGCUGAGGCUGUUAAUGGUUUUAUAUCCCCUGCCCAGUAACUAGAAUUAACUAGAAUUCAUGUAUCUUGGGGUCCUAUUUUAAUGAUUCUCCUCUUUUGAGAAUAAUGAUUAUUCUCUUGUUUGGAUGAACUCUUAUCUUCCAGGGUUAAAUGAAACUUAGAAAUCAGCUUGUGAAGUCCCUGAUGUACAUUUAUAAUUGCGAUUUUUCAUGCAUGAAGGUAGAGUCCAAACAGGACAUGUUGGCAUAAGAGUAGCAGUUUAUGCUUUUCCCCACAUGAUCAAAGGCAUAGUAUCUUGUCAUGCUGGUCAGAUGGAACAUCAUAUAUUACAUAAUUUUUUUAGUAAUGGCUGUUUGAGAAUAAAAUGUCUAUUCAAUGCAGAUGACCAAUUUUGUGUAUUAACUUUAUGUUGUAUAUUGAACACAUUACCUGUAAAUAAAACAAUAUUUAAUGCAUAUAAAUAUAAGAGAGGCUAGAUCUUUCUUUGUUUCUGUUUUAAAAGGAACAUAUUAGGAUACAAUUUGCUCACUCAACAAAAGCUCGUCCAAAAGAAUUAUGAGAAAUUUCAUGAUUUAAAAGUAUAUCUCAUUGAUUAAAAUUGUGCAAAAGGAUGAGAUGCAAAGGCAGGAGCAUUAUCCAUCUCUAAACAAAUAGGGCCUCUAGGAGCAGAUCAUGUUUGGUUUCUUUCCAUGCUGUCUGCUGGAACUGACUUGACAUUUUCUUUUUUUAGAUUCGAUUCUGUUAGUAUUUUUUUCUUUUGUUUUGUGUUUUCAAAUAAUGCAUUAGUAAUCAUAAAUAUUUUGAAGUGAAUGAAUCAUUAUAAUUUUAUUUUGUGAUUUUUAAAUAUUUUUUAUAUAUUUUUUAAUUUUGAUUAGUGAUUUAAUUUCUGGAUCAUUGUUUUUUUUUAUUGUGGUAUGCUUGGCUUCUUUUCACACUUCCUAUAUAUAUAUGAAAUGUGAAAAUAUAUAUGGAGUCUUUGACUAUAAUAUUAACCCUACACAAAACACAGUAUAUAUACAUAUAUAACACUUCUCUUUAUAUAACCUAUAGAUUUUUAAUUUUUACAGUAUUGUACAAGUUGCUUAGACUUUUCUUAAACUUGGUAGUGCUUGAUAAGCCUCUCCCAUAUUGGUAGAAUUUCAGAUUUGCACACUAGUAAUGCCCCUCUCAUUUUUUCUUAAAGAAUUAUUCACAUAAACAUUGUGCUCAUUGAUGUUAAUAUUUUGCAAUUUCACUCCCUAAACUUUUUUUGAAUACUGAUUUAGUGUUCUUUGAGUAAUUCAUAACUGUCAGUAUCCUUAUGUUAAAUUCUUAAUGUUUUUUUUUUCUUUUUUAUCACUUGGAUUUAGCCAUGCUUAUCUUUGUUUAUAUUUGCUGUACUAUUUUUUAUUUGUUCAUUAAAGGAGCCAUCAGUAGAUUAUAUAGUCCAUUUUUGGGAAAAAAGUAUAAAAACAUUUAAAUAAAUAAAAAUAGGCAAGAACAGUGCUGCAUCCUUGUAAUAUUUGCUAAUUGGGAGGCCAUGAAAAAGUACUUCAUUUGAGAGAAGUCACAGAAAUUUAGAAACGACAUGGCUCUAAUCAUUUUAAAAAAAACUUGUGUUGUAGUUUGUGAUAUAGAAUUUUUUGGGGUAAUCUCAAGCAUUACACAUGAAACAUUAAAAGUUGGAUGACCUAAAGAUCCAGAAUUGCCAGUACUAAAUAUGUAUCCAUGAACAAUUAAAUCAGAAAAUUGUAGAGAUACCUCUGCUUUUGUGUUUAGUGCAAACAUUUUUCUCAGUAUUAAAGCUAGGGUCUAAAUGUGUGUGCCCAUCAAUGUCAAAUGUGUAAAAAUAUGUACAUAUAUACUAUUAUUAUUUAGUUAUAAAAUAUUUUUUCUCUUAAAGUGUUAUAAGAAAUAUAUGCAGGACUUUGAAUUAAGUGAAAGGUGGCAGGCAGAUAUUAAGUUGUAGGAGCAUUUGAUUCACAUGUGGAACUCAGAAAUUAAGUGAGCAAAAUUUUGCUCACCAGGUACUGUGUUUUGUGUAGGGUUGAUAUUAUAGUGAAAGUCUCCAUAUUUUUAUUUAUUGAGCAUAAUAGGGUCAAGAGUUUUAUUUUACCACAUAGUGAGUGUAUUAUGUUCUUCAUAAAUACUAGUUGAAGGGAUAUAAUACCUUGUAAGAACAAAAUUGAUAAUUAUAUGAAAUAAUGAUUGUGUUAAUUCAUUCUAUUUAGUAAUUUUACCUUGUAUAUAUAGUAUAAAAUACCAUGAUAUAUUUAUAGAUAAACAAAGUUGUAUUUGUCAAUAAAGGAAAUUCUCAUAUCACAUGAAUGUAAAAAUAUAAAAAUCAAUUUAAUAUACUUGACUGUCAUGUGUUGAAUUCAUCCAAGUAUUAUGGCCAUAGGCUAUGCAAGGUUUUUAUAGUCUUUUAAAAAAUGUUUUUAUGAUAAAUUUUAUAGACAUAUAUGUGUAUAUUUCUUAGUAAAUUUUUUGUUCAUAUUUCUUUUUAAGAGUCCAUUGCCUCUUUACACUUCUUGAAUAUUUAUGGUAUUAUCACUCAAAAUCUACUAGUUAUUUUCAUGUAUCUAUGUCAUGGUAGACAAAAAACAUUUUUAGACAUUCUUUAAAAAGCCAGAAAUGUUUGUAUAUGUUUUACAUUUCUCUUGUUCUACUGACAGUGAAGGUAGCUGGUAAAUAUUUCCUAAAUACACAAUACUAUCUUAUUAAGGAAAAAAGGCUGUUAAUGAUACUUUUCUACACUUUAUUAUAUUACUCUUCUUUAUGAUGUACUCCUCUUGGAUACUGUGGUCUCUACAAGAAUUUUGGUAAUAUUCUCAAUGUAAUUUUGUCUGUACAUUUUUUAUUCAACUAAUAUAUAUUUUGGAUUUAUGGUGACUUUGGACUUACUAAUAUGCUACACUCCUGAUGUACUUAUUUUACCUUAAUUUUAUGUUAUGUAUGCAAAAUAUAUUUAUCCCAGUCUAAUCGGUACUGUUUUUAUUUUUGUUUAUUUCAGCCAUGACUCCUAAUCAUACCCAAGUAUAUUCACCAGAAAAGGGCCUAAAACAUAUAUUUCAUAAAGUGAUAAGUGCAAAAUAUAGAAGUUGUGAUCUUGAAUAUUUACCAAAAAAGAAAAUAGGGAAAACUCCAAGUGAGAGUGAACACCAGAAAUCAUAUAAAAAAUCAGGCCUUGUUCUCCACCAGAGAAUUUAUACUGGAGAGAAGCCCUACAAAUAUAAAGAAUGUGGCAAAGCUUUUAGUAAAAAAAGAGGUCUUAUUUACCACAGAGGAAACCACGAUGGAGAAAAGCCCUACAAAUGUAAAGUAUGUACCAAAGCUUUUGGUCAAAAAUCACACCUUAUUUGCCACAGGAGAACUCAUACUGGAGAGAAGCCCCACAAAUGUACAGAAUGUGGCAAAGCUUUCCGUCAGAAAUCAGACCUUAUUUGCCACAGGAGAACUCACACUGGAGAGAAGCCAUACAAAUGUAAAGAAUGUGGCAAAGCUUUUGGUCGAAAAUCACACCUUAUUCGCCACAGUAGAACUCACACUGGAGAGAAGCCCUACACAUGUAAAGAUUGUGGCAAAGCUUUUGGUCAAAAAUCAAACCUUAUAUGCCACAGGAGAACUCACACUGGAGAGAAGCCCUACAAAUGUAAAGAUUGUGGCAAAGCUUUUGGUCAAAACUCAGACCUUAUUUGCCACAGGAGAACUCACACUGGAGAGAAGCCCUACAAAUGUCAAGACUGUGGCAAAGCUUUUGGUCGAAAAUCAGUCCUAAUUUACCACAGCAGAUCUCACACUGGAGAGAAGCCCUACAAAUGUAAAGACUGUAGUAAAGCUUUUGGUCAAAAAUCAGACCUUAUUUGCCACAGAAGAACUCACACUGGAGAGAAGCCGUACAAAUGUAAAGAUUGUGGCAAAGCUUUUGGUCAAAAAUCACACCUUAUUUGCCACAGAAGAACUCACACUGGAGAGAAGCCAUACAAAUGUACAGAAUGUGGCAAAGCUUUUGGUCAAAUAUCAAGCCUUAUUCACCACACCAAAACUCACACUGAAGAGAAGCCCUACAAAUGUAGAGAAUGUGGAAAAGCUUUUGGUCAAAAAAUAGACCUUAUUCAUCACAGCAGAACUCACUGGAGAGAAGUCCUACAAAUGUAAAGAAUGUGGGGCUGGGGUUCUGGUUCAGUUGUAGAGUGCUAGCCUCGCAUAUGUGAGAUCCUGGCUUUGAUCCUCAGCACCACAUUAAAAUAAAUAAGUGAAAUAAUGGUAUUGUGUCCAUCUAAAACUAAAAAAUAAACAUAAAAAAGAGAGUAAACCUUAUUAACAACAGAAUUUAUACAGAAAAGAACCUCUACAAAUUGAAAAAAAUGCAGCAAAGCUUUUAAUAAGAAAUCAAUUAUUUUCACCACUAGGCUACUUAUUCUGGAAAGAAGACAUAUAAAUGUAGAGAAUGUAGAAACAUUUUAAAUUAUAUAUCAUAUAUUACAAGACAUCAGAGAAAACACAUUGGAGAGAAGCUAUAAAAAUGAGACCAUUGUACCAUGACUCUAAGAAAGGGACAACAUUUAAUCCUCAUCACAAUAACCAUAGCGUAGAGAAUGUUUUGAAAUGUGAAAAUUGACAAUGUGACAAUGCCUCCAAAAUUUAUUCACCAAUACUCAGAACCUGUGCAUACGUACUGGUUAGGGAAGAUACAAAUGGAAAAAAAAUAUAGCUACAUGUUUCUUAAACACUGCUUAUUUUUGGAAAAUUCAUUGUGCCCAGAAACCCUAAAAAGUUAAAUAAUAUAUCCAAAAUGUAUUUAAAUUUUAAAUUCAUUGAACAUCUGAAAACUUAUACUAGUAGUGAACAUUGAACAGAUUUUGUCCAAAAUAUAUGCCUUAUAUAACAGUGUAACAUUUAUAAUAAAUGUGAGAGUAUAGUAAAGUUAUUAUCUAUAUAUUACACAUUGAUGUAUAUGAGGAUCAGUAAAAUACAGAACUCAUUUAAGUUUAGAAAACAAGUAGUUGUCUUUAGCUUUUGCUUAAAUUUAUUAAGCAUUAUCAAGUUAUUUUGUAGAAAUAACAGUCAUAAAUAUCAUACAUGCAUAGUGAAGAAACGUCCUCUUUGAAAGAAUAUAAUUAUUUUUCUAAAUCAAAAAUUACUAUUUUCACUUUUGAAUACUGAGAAAAGAAUUAUAUGAAAUCUAUUUUUUAUGUUUAACACUCAAGUGUAAUAUUAUAAACUUUAAUUUUUUGUUGUAUUUCAGUUUACGUUUAGGUAUUUUUAUACACUGAGCCACAUUCUUAAGCCCUCUCUCCACUUUUUCAAAUUUUGAGACUGUAUUGCUAAGUUGCUUGAAACCACACUAAGUUGCUGAGGCUGAAUUUAAACAUCUGAAACUACUCAGCUUCCCAAUUUGCUUGGAUUACAAGCAUGGACCAUCAUGCCAGGUUUACAGUGCAUCUUUUUUACCUAUAUUUACCUUAUGUAUGUAAUAUGUCUUUAUAACUGAAUAUUUGUUUAUGUUAACACUCAUGUAUUGCAUACUGUUGUUAAAUGACAGAUAAAAUAGUGUUCCACUUGACUAAAUUUUCUAUGUAAUAGUAAAACAUACUGUUGAGUAAAUAAUACUC